AUUGAACGCUGGCGGCAUGCCUUACACAUGCAAGUCGAACGGUAACAGGUCUUCGGACGCUGACGAGUGGCGAACGGGUGAGUAAUACAUCGGAACGUGCCCAGUCGUGGGGGAUAACUACUUGAAAGAGUAGCUAAUACCGCAUACGAUCUGAGGAUGAAAGCGGGGGACCUUCGGGCCUCGCGCGAUUGGAGCGGCCGAUGGCAGAUUAGGUAGUUGGUGGGAUAAAAGCUUACCAAGCCGAUGAUCUGUAGCUGGUCUGAGAGGACGACCAGCCACACUGGGACUGAGACACGGCCCAGACUCCUACGGGAGGCAGCAGUGGGGAAUUUUGGACAAUGGGCGAAAGCCUGAUCCAGCAAUGCCGCGUGCAGGAUGAAGGCCUUCGGGUUGUAAACUGCUUUUGUACGGAACGAAAAAGUCUCCUCUAAUACAGGAGGCCCAUGACGGUACCGUAAGAAUAAGCACCGGCUAACUACGUGCCAGCCGCCGCCGUAA
Molecule: ribosomal RNA, 498 nt
Filed under: uncultured bacterium
Lineage: Bacteria
Description: partial 16S ribosomal RNA
Rfam family: Bacterial small subunit ribosomal RNA
Source: RNAcentral